Molecule: ribosomal RNA, 253 nt
Filed under: uncultured bacterium
Lineage: Bacteria
Description: partial 16S ribosomal RNA
Rfam family: Bacterial small subunit ribosomal RNA
Source: RNAcentral
UACGGAGGGUGCAAGCAUUGAUCGGAAUUACUGGGCGUAAAGGGCGCGUAGGCUGUACGUUAAGUCGGACGUGAAAUUCUGGGGCUCAACCCCAGAGCUGCGUUUGAAACUGGCGAACUAGAGUUCAGUUAGGGUAAACGGAAUUCCACGUGUAGCGGUGAAAUGCGUAGAUAUGUGGAAGAACACCGGUGGUGAAGACGGUUUACUGGGCUGAAACUGACGCUGAGGCGCGAAAGCAUGGGGAGCAAACAGG